UAGUACCUAUUUUUUGUAUACAGUAUGGUUACCUAGCAACCGAGGCUUGAAGACACCAAGUGGUAAACAGUUGUACAACAUUCUGUAAGAACUGCUAGGUGAGUGGUUAGAACACAGCACUUUGGUCUGGG
Sander lucioperca (pikeperch) is the source of this 131-nucleotide long non-coding RNA. RefSeq lists it as uncharacterized. The transcript has 3 exons. The record is from RefSeq and is a predicted model, not a curated record. NCBI's taxonomy places the organism in Eukaryota, Metazoa, Chordata, Actinopteri, Perciformes, Percidae.